CGGUACCUACGGGAGGCAGCAGUGAGGAAUAUUGGUCAAUGGACGCAAGUCUGAACCAGCCAUGCCGCGUGCAAGAAGACGGCUCUAUGAGUUGUAAACUGCUUUUGUACGAGGGUAAACGCAGAUACGUGUAUCUGUCUGAAAGUAUCGUACGAAUAAGGAUCGGAUAACUCCGUGCCAGCAGCCGCGGUAAUAUGGAGGAUUCCAGCGUUCUCCGGAUUUAUUGGUUUUAAAGGGUGCGUAGGCGGUCGGAUAA
Molecule: ribosomal RNA, 256 nt
Filed under: uncultured bacterium
Lineage: Bacteria
Description: partial 16S ribosomal RNA
Rfam family: Bacterial small subunit ribosomal RNA
Source: RNAcentral